Peromyscus californicus insignis is the source of this 1674-nucleotide long non-coding RNA. RefSeq lists it as uncharacterized. NCBI's taxonomy places the organism in Eukaryota, Metazoa, Chordata, Mammalia, Rodentia, Cricetidae. The transcript is spliced from 3 exons. The record is from RefSeq and is a predicted model, not a curated record.
AACUCAUUCUUUUCUCUGAUCUCCAAACUAGGAACCAGAAGAAACAGAUUCUCUGAUGAAGGAGACCAACACAGCCAGGUUCCCCUAUCAGAGGAAGAAGUGCAUCAUGGUUCUGAUGAAGUAACGGAGCACAAUUCAGAAAUGUGCACUGUCUCUAUUGAUGAGAGUGUCAAGAAUGUUGAUAACUCCAAUGGAUACAAUGAACACAAGGCAUCAUUUUCUUCAUCAAACCAUUCCUGAUGCAAAGUCCCCUUCAGAAAAGGCAGCCAGCAAGUAAAAUCCUGUACUUGACUUACAGAAGAAAUCCUCUACUUGACUUACUCCAUUUAUCUGAAGAUUUACUUGACUGACGUCAUCCCACCUUCAAUCACUGCCAUUCCAGGAGAUGGCUUGUCAGAUUUGACAAUUUCACUGUUGUGAAGACAGUCAUUUACUUCCUGUGCAUGGGUUUGAAUGUGGCCCUAAAGCUCAUGUAUUAGAAACAUUAUGUAAUAGUGUUGAAGACUUUACCAACAUUUUGGAAGUAGGUUUGUUCCUGGAAACUGGAAAAUUGUUUGUUCUGAAAGUACACUCUCUUUCUCUUGACCUCUCUUGACUUUCAAACUUUUGCCAGGGAUACUGUGCCAAAAAGGCUCUAACCAGAUGAUAACACCUUAAUACUGGAAUUCCUAGCUUGUAGAAUUACAAUAAUUAAAUUUAUUUUCUUUAUAAAUUACUCAUUGAACAGCAACACCAACCAAAGACAUCCAGAACUGUGUUGACUCUUUAGAAUGUAAACAUCAGUCACUGAUCUACUACCUUCAAUAAGACGAUGGGUACCUAUGUGCAAACGAUGAGCUCCACUUAGGAAGUAAUUGUCUUAUUAAUGAACAUCACUGUUGCAGCCAGGCUAGGAGGUUACUGUGCAUUUCCACCAUGAGCUCAGCAGGCCUGUAUGAUUAGAGGCUGCUUCAAGAUCUGAUGAGAGCGGUUGGAGCAGGACUAUCCUUAGUGGAACUGUGAAGAGCCAUGCAUGGCCUGGAAACAUGAUAACCAAUGUGAUACAGUAUUAUUCCCUAGUCUUUGGUAAUGACUGUUUGAGCAUAACUGAUUAGCCUUAGAAUGAUGAAUUACAGGAUCCUGGAGAGUAAGGAUGUCAGCAUUUCCAAGGCUACUUGGGGAAGGAGAUCUUAUCAUCACUAGGACUGACCUGUCUGAUGGGAGUUACAACUGGCAACACCAGGCUGGCACAUCUGCUGAUGGAUAGAUAGCCAUGGAGAUGAUUUGAGGAAGACUUCUGGCUCAGUUGCCAUAUUGUUCAUCAGUCUUCUAACAGGUUAAGAGUUCCAUGUAACUGUUCUGCAGGGAAAGAAUGUAGAGCCUGGCUGGCUUGAUCUGUUGCCUUCAUUUUAAUAAUCAACUUAGAAUAAUGUCAGUACUUGGAAGUUUGUUGAUAUGACAUAACUGGGCUUUUUUUCUCCUUAAGUAAUCAAGUUUUUGAGACUGUAGCUCAUAGGGGAAAAAAGUGUGGUGUGAUUGCCACCUAGCUAAUCUUCUCUACCAACUGAUAUGCUUGGUAUCGUAUUUGUAUACUUUGUAUAUAGUUUUGGUAAUUUUUUGUAUAAUGUACAAGAUAUCCAUAAACAUUAAUGUGUGAAAUAUUCCAAUGUAAAUAAAAACUUCACUGAGAUAAUA